RNAcentral lists this unclassified non-coding RNA (614 nucleotides) under Pochonia chlamydosporia. RNAcentral's name for it is "sequence contains 18S rRNA gene, ITS1, 5.8S rRNA gene, ITS2, 28S rRNA gene". The stretch from base 214 to 367 matches the Rfam family "5.8S ribosomal RNA". The record is from RNAcentral. Lineage: Eukaryota; Fungi; Ascomycota; Sordariomycetes; Hypocreales; Clavicipitaceae.
UCGUAACAAGGUCUCCGUUGGUGAACCAGCGGAGGGAUCAUUACCGAGUUUUCAACUCCCAAACCCCAUGUGAACUUAUACCAUUUACAACCGUUGCUUCGGCGGGUUCUCGCCCCGGGCUUUACACCCCGGAACCAGGCGGCCCGCCGGGGGACCCAAACUCUAGAUUUAUAUUUUAGCAUGUCUGAGUGGAAUCAUUACAAAAUGAAUCAAAACUUUCAACAACGGAUCUCUUGGUUCUGGCAUCGAUGAAGAACGCAGCGAAAUGCGAUAAGUAAUGUGAAUUGCAGAAUUCAGUGAAUCAUCGAAUCUUUGAACGCACAUUGCGCCCGCCAGUAUUCUGGCGGGCAUGCCUGUUCGAGCGUCAUUUCAACCCUCAAGCCCCAGCGGUUUGGUGUUGGGGACCGGCGAGUACAGAGGCUUUGGGGACUUGUCCCCCUUCCCUCGGCGCCGCCCCCGAAAUGAAUUGGCGGUCUCGUCGCGGCCUCCUCUGCGUAGUAGCACAACCUCGCAUCAGGAGCGCGGCGCGGCCACUGCCGUAAAACGCCCAACUUUUUUUAAGAGUUGACCUCGAAUCAGGUAGGAAUACCCGCUGAACUUAAGCAUAUCAAUAA